UUGCCAGCCAGGCUCCUGGCUAAAGUCCAGCUCUUAGCUGGAUUUAGCCAAAGCCUGGCUGUAAA
Mesocricetus auratus (golden hamster) is the source of this 65-nucleotide non-coding RNA. NCBI's taxonomy places the organism in Eukaryota, Metazoa, Chordata, Mammalia, Rodentia, Cricetidae. The record is from Rfam.